UCGAACGAAGCAUUUACACGGAAUCCCUCGGGAGGAAGUGUGAAUGACUGAGUGGCGGACGGGUGAGUAACGCGUGGGCAACCUGCCCCGUACCGGGGGAUAACAGCCGGAAACGGCUGCUAAUACCGCAUAUGCUUUGCGGGCCGCAUGGCCCGCAAAGCAAAACUCCGGUGGUACGGGAUGGGCCCGCGUCUGAUUAGCUGGUUGGCGGGGUAACGGCCCACCAAGGCGACGAUCAGUAGCCGGCCUGAGAGGGCGGCCGGCCACAUUGGGACUGAGACACGGCCCAGACUCCUGCGGGAGGCAGCAGUGGGGAAUAUUGCACAAUGGGGGAAACCCUGAUGCAGCGACGCCGCGUGGGCGAGGAAGUACCUCGGUAUGUAAAGCCCUAUCAGCAGGGAAGAAACAGGACAGUACCUGACUAAGAAGCCCCGGCUAACUACGUGCCAGCAGCCGCGGUAAUACGUAGGGGGCAAGCGUUAUCCGGAUUCACUGGGCGUAAAGGGAGCGCAGGCGGCAUGGCAAGUCUGAUGUGAAAACCCGGGGCCCAACCCCGGGAGUGCAUUGGAAACUGCCAGGCUGGAGUGUCGGAGGGGUAAGCGGAAUUCCUAGUGUAGCGGUGAAAUGCGUAGAUAUUAGGAGGAACACCAGUGGCGAAGGCGGCUUACUGGACUGUAACUGACGUUGAGGCUCGAAAGCGUGGGGAG
This 707-nucleotide ribosomal RNA is filed under the name uncultured bacterium. RNAcentral describes it as "bacterial SSU rRNA". It matches the Rfam family "Bacterial small subunit ribosomal RNA", at positions 62 to 768 of the family's 1533-position model. The record is from RNAcentral.